CCUACGGGAGGCAGCAGUAGGGAAUAUUGGUCAAUGGGGGAAACCCUGAACCAGCAACGCCGCGUGGGGGAUGAAGGUCUUCGGGUUGUAAACUCCUUUUGUUAGAGAAGAUAAUGACGGUAUCUAACCACUACUCACCGGCUCACUCCGUGCCAGCAGCCGCGGUCAUACGGCGGGUGCAAGCGUUACUCGGAAUCACUGGGCGUAAAGAGGGCGUAGGUGGGAUAGCAAGUCAGGUGUGAAAUCGUAUGGCUUAACCAUAGAACUGCAUUUGAAACUGGUAUUCUAGAGUGUGGGAGAGGUAGGUGGAAUUCUUGGUGUAGCGGUAAAAUGCGUAGAGAUCAAGAGGAAUACUCAUUGCGAAGGCGACCUGCUAGAACAUAACUGACGCUGAUGCGCGAAAGCGUGGGGAGCAAACAGGAUUAGAUACCCCGGUAGUC
RNAcentral lists this ribosomal RNA (440 nucleotides) under uncultured bacterium. RNAcentral's name for it is "partial 16S ribosomal RNA". It matches the Rfam family "Bacterial small subunit ribosomal RNA", at positions 338 to 795 of the family's 1533-position model. The record is from RNAcentral.